RNAcentral lists this long non-coding RNA (756 nucleotides) under Betta splendens (Siamese fighting fish). Its description in RNAcentral is "lncRNA (ENSBSLG00000025794.1)". The record is from RNAcentral. Lineage: Eukaryota; Metazoa; Chordata; Actinopteri; Anabantiformes; Osphronemidae.
UAUUUUAUUGUUUUAAUACGUGUAUUGAAAGAAAAGAAUGAAGCCUAUGUAGGCAGCUAACAAUGUGUCAUUGUGUUCGGAUCUGUAGGUGUUUCCCGAGCGGAGGGAGAGAAUGGCUCCGCUGUCGGCUCAAUGCCCACAGGAACGAAGCGGGGACCAGCGCAUCGUAAGACAACGCACAGCGGUGACUCAGCCUCCAGCAGCAGAAGCAGUGUGAGAACACAAACCGGGGCUUAGAAGCGAGCUCGCUCAUUACAUCAGCGCUCAGGUGUUGUCUCCUCGUUUUAUGAGCAGCCAGACGAGGCCGGAGUUUAGAGCUGUGUGUCAUUAAGGCCCGCGGACCGCUUCAAGGUUCUGUGGUACCUCUGCUGGAAGACGUCUCCGUGGUUGAGUCACUGCUUAGAAAGCUUCCACAUCCUGCCUUCGCUGAGACACCAGGAGGAUAGACAGACAGAUAGAUAUGUAUUAUCUGAGGUGUUUACCAAAGCCGCACUACAGAGUAGAGAGAGGAGCCCACAGCACAUACACAUCAAGCGAAGGAUGUUCCAGUGCUCUGAUUUCUCAAGCAGAUAUACAGAAAACCCAUCGCCAAAGAAUGAAGAUGCCUUUUUGAAAAACGUGGAGCAGAAGGUAGUGUUUGGUUUUUAUGAGCAUUAACAUGAUGCUAAGCAGUAAAGCAUGAGCUUUACAUCAAUAUAUGGACAGACUGAUUUCCUCCUGCUUGUUGGAAUGCUGCAGUAGUCAAGGUGCAGUAAG